Molecule: ribosomal RNA, 253 nt
Filed under: uncultured bacterium
Lineage: Bacteria
Description: partial 16S ribosomal RNA
Rfam family: Bacterial small subunit ribosomal RNA
Source: RNAcentral
UACGUAGGUGACCAGCGUUGUCCGGAUUUACUGGGCGUAAAGAGCGCGCAGGCGGUCGUUCAAGUCGAGUGUGAAAGCCCCCGGCUCAACUGGGGAGGGUCAUUCGAUACUGAUCGACUCGAAGGCAGGAGAGGGAAGUGGAAUUCCCGGUGUAGUGGUGAAAUGCGUAGAUAUCGGGAGGAACACCAGUGGCGAAGGCGACUUCCUGGACUGUUCUUGACGCUGAGGCGCGAAAGCUAGGGGAGCAAACGGG